CCGUUGCAAGGGACUCCGAAGAGCUGUGGCAAGGGGUGAAAAGCCAAUCUAACCUAGAGAUAGCUGGUCUUCUGCGAAAUCCGUUUUUGCGGAUAGCCCAUUUAUUGAAUUAUAAAGAAAUUCAAAUUCAUUUGUUACUAGACGGUACGGCACUGGAAGUCACGCAGUUUUUAUUGCCUAAUCGGGGGGCUGUCAUGGCUCUAUCGAUGGCUUCUAACCCCGGAAAUGUAUAGUAUACAAUAAUGGGCAAUCAGACAUAUCAUGAUAAGGCGAUUUGUCAAAAGGGAAACAGCCCAGAACAGGUGUGAAGGUCCCUAACAAACUACUGAGUGAACACAAGGCAGUCCUUUCCAGUAUCUCUCCACAAAGUGGGCUUGAAGCAGCCACCUUUUAGCGAUAGCGUAACAGCUCAGUGGUCUGAGUUCUCUGAAAAGGGUAUAUUGCCUGGUGAGGGCGCCAAAAAUGUAACGGGUCUAUAGUAGUCGUCUCUCUAUUUCAUUAGGAAAUAUGAGGGGGUGGCAGUUAAUAAAAAUGUAGAGCUUUUUCACUGCCUCACCGAAACCCUGUCCUAAAUAUAAAUUUUAGGGGUAGCAGAAUACCCAGUAAAUGGAAUGAAGCUUACUUAUUGAGUAGGUGGACAUAACUGGGCUAAAAAUGCUGACAUGAGUAGCCUAAAAGGAGGGUAAUUUCCUCUUCGCCGAAAGAAGAAGGUUUUCAUUUGUAAGGUCUAUACCUAAUGAUUAAAGUAACGGCCUCUAAGUUUCAGGGUAACAAAUAAGUUUCGAUGAGAAAUUCUUCUAUAAGGCAGUAAUCUUUUUUAUGGAUUUACCUAUUAAUUAAAGGUAUAUUUCAAAAAGUAAGAUUCGGGAAAAAGCCCUAUGGAAACUUAACCGUACCCUAAACCAACACAGGUCUGCAAGUAGAGCAUACUAAGGCGUAGAGACAAUCGUCUUGAAGGAACUCGGCAAAAUGACCCCGUAACUUUGGAAGAAGGGGUGUCACUUAUUAGUGGCGGCACAAAACAGGGGAGCGCGACUGUUUACUUAAAACACCGGACUCUGCUAACACUAGCGUGGAUGUAUAGAGU
RNAcentral lists this ribosomal RNA (1087 nucleotides) under Rhizophagus intraradices. RNAcentral's name for it is "LSU rRNA". It matches the Rfam family "Bacterial large subunit ribosomal RNA", at positions 786 to 1851 of the family's 2925-position model. The record is from RNAcentral. Lineage: Eukaryota; Fungi; Glomeromycota; Glomeromycetes; Glomerales; Glomeraceae.